GUUUGUUUCUGACACUGAAUACACCCAAUCUCAUCUGAUCUACAAAGCUAAGCAGGGUUGGGCCUGGUUAGUAUUUGGAUGGGAGACUACCUGGGAAUACCAGGUGCUGUAAGCU
RNAcentral lists this ribosomal RNA (115 nucleotides) under Amphiprion ocellaris (clown anemonefish). Lineage: Eukaryota; Metazoa; Chordata; Actinopteri; Pomacentridae. The record is from RNAcentral.